UACGGAGGAUGCAAGCGUUAUCCGGGAUGAUUGGGCGUAAAGCGUCCGCAGGUGGCUGUGUAAGUCUGCUGUCAAAGAGCAAAGCUCAACUUUGUAAAGGCAGUGGAAACUACACGGCUAGAGUGCGUUCGGGGCAGAGGGAAUUCCUGGUGUAGCGGUGAAAUGCGUAGAGAUCAGGAAGAACACCGGUGGCGAAGGCGCUCUGCUAGGCCGCAACUGACACUGAGGGACGAAAGCUAGGGGAGCGAAUGGG
RNAcentral lists this ribosomal RNA (253 nucleotides) under uncultured bacterium. RNAcentral describes it as "partial 16S ribosomal RNA". It matches the Rfam family "Bacterial small subunit ribosomal RNA", at positions 524 to 776 of the family's 1533-position model. The record is from RNAcentral.